CAUUGUCGAAACCUACACAGCAGAACGAUCCGUGAACUAGUGACAACCGACGAGGGGCAGGGGCCACUCGUCGCCCCCUCGCCCCCCACCUCCCCAGCGAGCGGGGACCUCGCGUCUCCCACCCUCAAACCGUACCCCGGUGCGAAAUGCGCCAAGGAAAUCGAACCAAGAGAGCCACGCCGGAAGCCCCGGACAUGAUGCGCCCUCGGUGUUGGCGACUUACGAAUUAUCCUAAACAACUUUCGGCAAUAGAUAUCUAGGCUCUCGCAUUGAUGAAGAACGUAGCAAAAUGCGAUACUUGGUGUGAAUUGCAGAAUCCUGUGAAUCAUUGAGCUUUUGAACGCAUGUGAUGCCCGAAGCCACUCGGCCGAGGGCACGUCUGCCUGGGUGUCAUGCACUGUUAGCCCCCCCCAAACUCUGAGUUCGGGCGAGGCAGAAGUUGGCCUCCAGUGCACACCCACGCGCUUGGUUAGCCCAAAAGCGAGUCCUCGACGACGAGCGCCAUGACAAUCGGUGGGUUUUUGACCCUCAUUUGCCGUCAUGCGCACCCCGCCGCCUGAUCUCAUGGCCCUCGCGUGUCACCCCGGCGGUGCUCAUAAUGCGACCCUAGGUCAGGUAGGACUACCCGCUGAGUUUAAGCAUAU
This 644-nucleotide unclassified non-coding RNA is filed under the name Lithocarpus glaber (Japanese oak). RNAcentral describes it as "partial contains internal transcribed spacer 1, 5.8S ribosomal RNA, internal transcribed spacer 2, and large subunit ribosomal RNA". The stretch from base 238 to 393 matches the Rfam family "5.8S ribosomal RNA". Lineage: Eukaryota; Viridiplantae; Streptophyta; Magnoliopsida; Fagales; Fagaceae. The record is from RNAcentral.